UACGAAGGGGGCUAGCGUUGCUCGGAAUCACUGGGCGUAAAGCGCACGUAGGCGGAUCGCUAAGUCAGGGGUGAAAUCCUGGAGCUCAACUCCAGAACUGCCUUUGAUACUGGCAAUCUCGAGUCCGGGAGAGGUGAGUGGAACUGCGAGUGUAGAGGUGAAAUUCGUAGAUAUUCGCAAGAACACCAGUGGCGAAGGCGGCUCACUGGCCCGGUACUGACGCUCAUGCACGACAGCGUGGGGAUCAAACAGG
This 253-nucleotide ribosomal RNA is filed under the name uncultured bacterium. RNAcentral describes it as "partial 16S ribosomal RNA". It matches the Rfam family "Bacterial small subunit ribosomal RNA", at positions 524 to 776 of the family's 1533-position model. The record is from RNAcentral.